This 569-nucleotide long non-coding RNA is filed under the name Ananas comosus (pineapple). Its description in RNAcentral is "long non-coding RNA (ACOM_LNC013180)". Lineage: Eukaryota; Viridiplantae; Streptophyta; Magnoliopsida; Poales; Bromeliaceae. The record is from RNAcentral.
CGACAUCGCCGACAUCGCCGUCGACGUCGUCUCCCUCCUCACCGACCUCACCGACACCGACGUCCUCGGCGACCACGACGACCCCGCGCACGCCCUCGUCGCCGCCCUUGUCGACAACAACGCCCUCGAGCUUCUCGCCCGCCUUUCGGAGGCCGACCCCGACGAGAUUCUUCUCCCUCGCCGGUGACGAAGAAGAGGGAAGAGGAAGAGGAAGAGGAAGAAAGAAGAAGGAAGAAGAAGGGAAAAGAGGAAGAGGGAAGAGGAAAAGUAAGAGGGUUCGUCGUUGCCGCCGCCGUCGCCGCCGCCGCCGCAUCUCCUCGCCGGCGACGAAGAAGAAGGAAGAGGAAGAGGAGGAAGAGGAAGAAGGGUAAAUACGUCAAUUUACACUAUAAUUAACCAUGGUUAAGUAUUUUAACCGUGGUUAACGAAAAAUUUCUAACAGAUCUGGACGGCAGGGACAUAUCUGCAUAACUUAGGACUUUUGCAGGGACAACUUAUGGAGUUUCCGUUUUGCAGGGAUAUUUCCGCAAUUCACUAUAUUUGCAGGGACCUGUAUGCAAAUAACCCAA